UGAGGAAUAUUGGUCAAUGGGCGAGAGCCUGAACCAGCCAAGUCGCGUGAGGGAAGACGGUCCUACGGAUUGUAAACCUCUUUGUCGGGAGCAAUAAGGCGUACGCGUACGCAGAUGCGAGUACCCGAAGAAAAAGCAUCGGCUAACUCUGUGCC
RNAcentral lists this ribosomal RNA (155 nucleotides) under uncultured bacterium. Its description in RNAcentral is "partial 16S ribosomal RNA". It matches the Rfam family "Bacterial small subunit ribosomal RNA", at positions 355 to 509 of the family's 1533-position model. The record is from RNAcentral.